Bactrocera dorsalis (oriental fruit fly) is the source of this 936-nucleotide long non-coding RNA. RefSeq lists it as uncharacterized. The transcript has 4 exons. NCBI's taxonomy places the organism in Eukaryota, Metazoa, Arthropoda, Insecta, Diptera, Tephritidae. The record is from RefSeq and is a predicted model, not a curated record.
AGACAUAGGUAACAGAUUGCACAAACACAUUGAAACAUUUUCAGCUGUUCACUAACACUGUUACAUUUUCUGCAAUUUUCAAUUGCAUGGCAGAAUACGUAAGUAAGAUAGAGAACAACUAUCGACAUUCUAAGCAUAUUGCAAUGUUAACUUAUUGGAAUAGGAAAGACGAAUACUAAAUUUUUCAAGAAGAAGAAAACGAAAAGCGCAGUUUAUUUUGGAUUUUAAAGAGAGAAAACGAAAAAGCUUGGAGAAAAAGAUAAGCAUUGAAUUGAAUCAUCACAAAUUGUGGUACCGUCACUAUCGCCGGAACGCACGUGCGCUUCGUGGAAGACAAUCUUUCACAAAAGGAAAGCACGGAUGCUAUGAUGCGGCUAAUAUUGAAAUCAAAGGGCGCAAAAGGUAGUGUGGACAGUAUGUUUUCUGACGAUCUAAUAUACCACUACAAUUUACAGGGGCGCAAGGAGAAGGAAUCCCUACUAAAGCUAAAGUGCGUAGGGUUAGUUUUUGAAAUAUUUCCUGACAAAGACAAAGACGCUAUCUGUGGAGAGCUCUGGAGAUUUGUGACCUUUGGCCACAAUCGUUUUUAACAAAAAAAAAAACAUAAACUUAAGGCUAAAUGAAUAUAAGUUUUCUUAUUAUUAAUUACAUAUACAUAUAUAUUAGCUUUAAGUUUUAAAUAUUAGUUUUAAGUUGAACAUUAGUUCUAAGUUGUACAUAUUAGUCUUAAGUUGAUGUUUCUAAUAUCACUUUUAAAAAUAUGAAUUAUUAUAAUUUAAAUUUUUAUACUGAAAUAACCUUAAUCUAAUGUUUAAGUAAAUGUUUAUUAUUAAAUAAAACGAAAUAAUAAAAAAACUGAAUUUUAUUUAAAAGAAUUAAAUUUGCUAGAAGUAACAAAUGGGAACAGAUAGCGUUGUUACUGCUUGUUCUUACUAA